Molecule: ribosomal RNA, 275 nt
Filed under: uncultured bacterium
Lineage: Bacteria
Description: partial 16S ribosomal RNA
Rfam family: Bacterial small subunit ribosomal RNA
Source: RNAcentral
AUACGGAGGGUGCGAGCGUUGUUCGGAAUCACUGGGCGUAAAGGGCGCGCAGGCGGUCUGUCAAGUCAGAUGUGAAAGCCCACGGCUCAACCGUGGACGUGCAUCUGAAACUGGCAGACUCGAGUACCGGAGGGGAAAGUGGAAUUCCCGGUGUAGAGGUGAAAUUCGUAGAUAUCGGGAGGAAUACCGGAGGCGAAGGCGACUUUCUGGACGGAUACUGACGCUGAGGCGCGAAAGCGUGGGGAGCGAACAGGAUUAGAAACCCUAGUAGUCCC